UCCUACGGGGGGCAGCAGUGAGGAGUAUUGGUCAAUGGGCGCGAGCCUGAACCAGCCAAGUCGCGUGAGGGAAGACGGUCCUAUGGAUUGUAAACCUCUUUUGUCGGGGAGCAAAAGACGCCACGCGUGGCGUUCCGAGAGUACCCGAAGAAAAAGCAUCGGCUAACUACGUGCCAGCAGCCGCGGUAAUACGUAGGGGGCAAGCGUUAUCCGGAUUUACUGGGUGUAAAGGGAGCGCAGGCGGCGUGGCAAGUCAGAUGUGAAAACCCGGGGCCCAACCCCGGGAGGGCAUUUGAAACUGCCAU
RNAcentral lists this ribosomal RNA (305 nucleotides) under uncultured bacterium. RNAcentral's name for it is "bacterial SSU rRNA". It matches the Rfam family "Bacterial small subunit ribosomal RNA", at positions 337 to 639 of the family's 1533-position model. The record is from RNAcentral.